GUCCCCUUCGGGGUGACAUACGAAAAAUUGGAACGAUACAGAGAAGAUUAGCAUGGCCCCUGCACAAGGAUGACACGCUUUCCCGGAGUGGUAGACCUACGGGUCUCACUAUUUAUUUUU
This is a non-coding RNA of Trametes cinnabarina, 120 nucleotides long. Lineage: Eukaryota; Fungi; Basidiomycota; Agaricomycetes; Polyporales; Polyporaceae. The record is from Rfam.